UUAUAGUUUUAUUAGUAUAGUGUCCCAUGUCAUGUCACUAAAUACAGUCAUCUAUUUUCAGUUCGUUCGUGGUAGCACCUUCAAAGAAAUUCCCAUGACUGUUUACACAACUAAAAUAAUAACCAAAGUUGUGGAACCAAAAAUUAAAGUGAUUCAAGGCAGUCUUCAGCCUAUUAUCAAAACUGAAGGGCCCACACUUACGAAGUUGCAAAUCGAAGGUGAACCUGAAUUCAAACUGAUUAAAGAAGGUGAACCAAGAACAGAAAUUAUCCACGGAGAACCAAUUAUAAAAACAUACACCAAAAUCAUUGAUGGAGUGCCUGUGGAAAUAACUGAAAAACAAACACGGGAAGAACGAAUCAUUACAGGUCCCGAAAUAAAAUAUACUAGGGUUUCUGCUGGAGGUGGAGAAACAGAAGAAACUCUGAAAAAAUUGCUGCAAAAAGAGGUCAGCAAGGUCACCAAAUUCAUUGAAGGUGGCGAUGAUCAUUUAUUUGAAGAUGAAGACAUUAAACGCCUGCUUCAGGGAGACACACCUGUGAAAAAGAUACAAGCGAAAAAAAGGGUUCAAGGAUCUAGAAGGCGAUCAAGGGAAGGUCGUUCUCAGUGAAAAUCAAAAAACCAGACAACAACCCUCAGUCCACAACCCGACCUGAAAAGAAAAUUAUGAAAGCCAACCAGACUUCACGAAAUGAAACUUCAGCACUAAGAAACAAACCUUCAAACAAUUCUGAACCUGAAUGUCAUAUCUGUUUUUCUAAUGAGAAGCAUGAAGACAAUGGUGGGAUUAGCCUCCUGUGGAAUAGGAACUGAAGGAUACAUAACAUCUUACAGGCUUUUGUUUCUUGAUAUUAAAAAUUCCAACUAAAUUUGGAAUCCAAGAAAGAAAAUUCUGGUCGCAUAGUUCAUUACAAUUUAAAUCUAAGUAUCUUGUUGAGGCAACUGCAUAGCGAAUGUACAAAUGUACAUAAUAAAUAGACCAAAAGCGUGCAAACAGUUACCUCUCCAUAGGAAGCUAAAUUAUAAAAAUGGGGAUUUAGUAUAUAAGUGACAAAAUAAUUUCACAUCCAAAGUCCUUACACGUAUCUAAUACAAUGUGAGUUUACCAGUAAAUUAUGUUAUUUUUACAACUAAUUUUGUACUCAAAAUGUUUGUAUAUGUUUUUUGCUAUACAUACUUUCUUACUGAAACAUUGCAAUAAAAACCAUUUUGCAGGUAUUAAGAGAAUUACUUCAGAUUGUUUAAUUCAAUUAACUCAAGGUUUAAAUUAAAAAUCCCUUUGGAUCUGGGAAUAGGACUUUAUACCUCUUUUAUAAACAAGUAUUCAAUAAAUGAAAUUGUAUGACACUAUUAUUUCUUGAUUUUUUCCAACUACUAUUUUGAAACAUUAGACAAUAAAAGAGUCAUUGAACAUCAACAGAGCACCUAUGAUUGUGCUAAAUUUUAGGAUUCAAAAGAUCACUCAGACAGACACGGUCUCCAAAAGGCAAAGAGAUAACCAGAGAUUCAAAGUACACACUGGCUGUAACAGAAAAUAUAACAUUACACAAGCCUAAAAGCAUCAGUUAAUUAAUCUUCGGCUAGACAUAGCAGAAGUCACAAAGAUAUCUGUAAGAUAACAAAAUUCCAUAUGUAGCAAAAAAAAAGAUGAAAAUAUAUUUAUUUCUGAGACUGAUAAAAAGAUAGGCUGGAUGUACUCAUAUGCCACUGAGUUUCCUUAGCUUGAACUGUUUAAAAUAAGAAUGCUCAAAGAAUAAAAUUCAUACUGACAAUAAACUGAGUGAUGACAGUGUAACAAAAUUAACCAUGUUGUGGAGAGCAGGCAUUGGGAAACUGUAGAACUAAAUCAAAUCAAAAGAAGAUACCUGACUUGAUCUAGAUGCUCAGCAUGGAUCUUAGACAUUGGAUCCAGCGCUAAAGUAUCCCUGAAGGACCUAGGAAGCUUCUUUGGUGUAGAUUCUUG
Long non-coding RNA from Cavia porcellus (domestic guinea pig), 1963 nucleotides. NCBI's taxonomy places the organism in Eukaryota, Metazoa, Chordata, Mammalia, Rodentia, Caviidae. The record is from Ensembl.